UCGGAGGAUCGAGUGCGAGCGAUUUUCGGGAUUUGCGAGUUAUCGAGAUACGCGAGGUAAGUCUUCUCACUCUACGUUACUUGAGUGGUAGUAUUGUGUGACCGGAGGGUCGUAUGUGCUUACAUUGAGUAUUAUGUUAUGCGAGCGAUUUUCGGGAUUUGCGAGUUAUCGAGAUACGCGAGGUAAGUCUUCUCACUCUACGUUACUUGAGUGGUAGUAUUGUGUGACCGGAGGGUCGUAUGUGCUUACAUUGAGUAUUAUGUUAUCCUAUUGUAUGUGACAUGCUAUGCAUUAUGUCUUUGUGAUUUAUGCUAUGCGGAGUUAUAGACCGGAACGGAGGGUCCA
RNAcentral lists this long non-coding RNA (345 nucleotides) under Lactuca sativa (garden lettuce). RNAcentral's name for it is "long non-coding RNA (LSAT_LNC002581)". The record is from RNAcentral. Lineage: Eukaryota; Viridiplantae; Streptophyta; Magnoliopsida; Asterales; Asteraceae.